Molecule: ribosomal RNA, 513 nt
Filed under: Malassezia restricta
Lineage: Eukaryota; Fungi; Basidiomycota; Malasseziomycetes; Malasseziales; Malasseziaceae
Description: partial large subunit ribosomal RNA
Rfam family: Eukaryotic large subunit ribosomal RNA
Source: RNAcentral
AGAGCUCAAAUUUGAAAGCUGGCGUCUUCGGCGUCCGCGUUGUAAUCUCGAGACGUGUUUUCCGUGCGGCUCUCUGGACAAGUCCCUUGGAACAGGGCAUCGUAGAGGGUGAAAAUCCCGUACUUGCCAUGGAAGUACCGUGCUUUGUGAUACACGCUCCAAGAGUCGAGUAGUUUGGGAUUGCUGCUCAAAGUGGGUGGUAGACUCCAUCUAAAGCUAAAUAUCGGGGAGAGACCGAUAGCGAACAAGUACCGUGAGGGAAAGAUGAAAAGCACUUUGGAAAGAGAGUUAAAAGUACGUGAAAUUGUCGAAAGGGAAGCACUUGAAGUCAGCCAUGCUGCUUGAGACUCAUCCUGGCUUUUGCUUGGUGUAUUUCUCGGUAGCAAGCCAGCAUUGGUUUGUGUCGUCGGAGAAGCGUAUGGGGAAUGUGGCAUCCUCCGAUGUGUUAUAGCCCUGUGCAGGAUACGACGACAUAGACCAAGGAACGCAGUGUGCCCUCUGGGCGGGUCUUCU